UUUUUUGUUUCUUUUCCAUUCUUGUUGUUUUUCAUUUUUCCUUUUCUGUUCUUUCUAUUUUUCUUCAGAAGAUGCCCACAUCAAUAUAAUGGAUCCAAAAUUUUCAACACACUAGCAUCACGAUGGGAAGCAUCCAUGAUAAAUUCCACUUAGUUCCAGCAUUUUAUAAUUUUCUAUGAUUUUUUUGAUGAAAACCCCUAAAACACUAGC
This 210-nucleotide long non-coding RNA is filed under the name Hordeum vulgare. RNAcentral describes it as "long non-coding RNA (HVUL_LNC012970)". The record is from RNAcentral. Lineage: Eukaryota; Viridiplantae; Streptophyta; Magnoliopsida; Poales; Poaceae.